UUUCAAAAACCAAACAUCUUCUUUUACCCCCUCUAACUCUCGUGCAUAGCAAAACACCCUCAUUCCUCCUUUUUCAUCCACUAAACACAUAAUAUUUAGCCAUAAAAAUUCACUAUAAGAUGGUUUAAGGUGAAUACAUGCUUGGUGAACCAUAGGAUAUUACUUUGGAAGCUUUAUUCUCUUCAUAAUCUUCAUCCCAAAGCUCACUAACCUCUUGCAAAAUUGUAACUAAGUGGAUCUUGGUGCAACAAAUUAUGAAGUUUCAAGUUUACUAUGAAGACGAUGUCAUCCGUAUUUUGGAGGGUUUGAUCCAUAUAUCCCGUCUUCGAACGGGACAUAGGAUGCAAAACCUCGUUAUUUCAAAAACUUUAUUUUGAACAAGUCUUGUUUGUAGAACUUACAAACUUAUGUUGUCUUUUGCUACAAAACAACUUUUGACUUGUAUCUUUACAUUAUGGAAUGGAUGAACAUCGUGUAUGUUUUAUAUCAUAUAGUUUGUUUACUUACAUCGUAUGCUGUGGAAACCGAUCAAGUCACACUACGCGCUUCCGCCUUUGACACGGGUGUGACAAAUUACUUGCAUGGUUUACGGUGGUAAUCAUGUAUUGCGAACCGUCCUCGGACGGUCAACCCGCAGUCGUUGGUAUCGAUGGUCCCAUGUCGAUAAUUAACAUGCAUCGUUUUCCUCUGUGUAAUUAGGAUGCUUAUCUGCUAGGAAGCGAGGCUAGAAUAAAGCUCUAGAGGCCAAUGAAUAGUUGUAGGUUGUGGUCUACCUAGGGGUCUCUAGAAGCAAAUAAACAAUUGCCAUGGAGCCGUUGGAGUUGUCCGAUCCGGGGUCUAUGGCAUUAGCUGUCUGUAGAUCUUGUCCGGAUAAGUCUUAAUGACUUCAAGCAAUACUUUUAUUCAUUUGGGUUGUAAUAAUUAAAUCUGAGUUGUCGGAACGGAAUUUAUU
RNAcentral lists this long non-coding RNA (952 nucleotides) under Helianthus annuus (common sunflower). RNAcentral's name for it is "hypothetical non coding rna". The record is from RNAcentral. Lineage: Eukaryota; Viridiplantae; Streptophyta; Magnoliopsida; Asterales; Asteraceae.